CGGCACAGCCAGCGGCGCAGGAGCGGGCAGCCGCGGUGCAGGAUAUCCGCCAGCGGGUGGCGCUGUUGGGAGGUGAGAAAACUGAUGCUUGGAGAUGUGAUCACUGCCCAGGGUCACCCAAUGAUAACAUGCAUGCAUAUGGAACUUGCUGCAUGCCAGCACCAUCUUUGCGGAGUGGCAGCAGAGUCCGUUUGCCCUGGAAAACAAAUGUCCACACAGUUAGGAAGCCCAAGGGCCCUCUGCCCUUUCCUCUCUGCCUUCCUGGAGCAUGAACCCACACAGGGCACACAGCAGCAAGGCAUCCCCGGGCAGUGCCGUGCCCACUCACCAGCUUCUUCCUGCGGUCAUCGAUCUGGCAGAAGUUCUCCUCAUCUAUCCCCAAACAUGGGCUUCCUUGAGGCACAGUCAUUCAACCAACCAGCCAGCAUUCAUUGAGCACCAUCUAUGUCCUGGGCACUGCUAGGGGAUGGUGAUAACAGGGAGAAGACUCUGUCCCUGCCUUCCAAUUGUGUAGAGGAAGACAUCCCCCUACAUGAUGGGUGAGACAUAGCAGAAGUGAGUAGGGGAUGAGGUGGGGGCUCAGAGGAGGGCAUGGUCAGCCUGUCUGGGAGGGAGUUGCAUGUGUGCAUCUGAGGUAGGGACAGGCAUGCAUCUUACAGGAUGAAUAUCGAGCAGAGUUACAGAGAGGGGGAAACUCCUUGAGGUUUCAGGAAUCACCUAAUCCACUGUGACUCACAAAUUCCUGCCUCUUGGCUUUGCCUGCAGCAUAUCUCCUGGAAGUGUGCUGGGGCAAAACUCAUCCCAGACCACCAUCUCCAUCCUCCCCCAAUACACCCUGGCUCUCCCUGGCUACCCUUGAGCACGGUGCACGUGUGCAUGGGUGCAUGCCUGCAUAUAUAGCUAUCCCCCAUGUAUUUCCCAAAGCCCUACAUAAUGCUUCAGUUUGCUAAGGAAAAAAUGUUAAUUACUGCAAAUGUGUUUAAAACUGUAAAAGUACAUUAAACAAACUCUGUAAAGUGUGAAA
RNAcentral lists this long non-coding RNA (1024 nucleotides) under Homo sapiens (human). RNAcentral's name for it is "HSALNT0015640". Lineage: Eukaryota; Metazoa; Chordata; Mammalia; Primates; Hominidae. The record is from RNAcentral.